RNAcentral lists this ribosomal RNA (816 nucleotides) under Haddadus binotatus (clay robber frog). RNAcentral describes it as "partial 12S ribosomal RNA". The stretch from base 1 to 487 matches the Rfam family "Bacterial small subunit ribosomal RNA", at positions 794 to 1533 of the family's 1533-position model. The record is from RNAcentral. Lineage: Eukaryota; Metazoa; Chordata; Amphibia; Anura; Craugastoridae.
GCCUGGAUGUAAACCUUUAUUUACACACCCAUCGCCCGGAUAUUACAAGCUACGCUUAAAAACCAAAGGACUUGACGGUAUCUCACACCCCACUAGAGGAGCCUGUCGCACAAUCGAUAAUCCCCGCUAAACCUCACCUCUCUUAGCUUAUCAGCCUGUAUACUUCCGUCGUAGCCUAUCAUAUGAAUGAACCUUAAUAAGCCAAUGACUCAUACGUCAGGUCAAAGUGCAGCCAAUAGAGUGGAAGCAGAUGGGCUACAUUUUCUAAAUUAGACUAUACGAAAGAUUAAAUGAAAUAAAAUCAGAAGGUGGAUUUAGUAGUAAGUGUAAAACAGAGAGCUACCCUUAAUAUAGGCACCGAGAUGUGUACAAACCGCCCGUCACCCUCUUCAGUACAAACGAUAGUAUUUAACACCACUAAAACUACAGAGGAGGCAAGUCGUAACAUGGUAAGAGUACCGGAAGGUGCCCUUGGAAACGAAACAUAGCUUAAUAAAAGCCCUUCGCUUACACCGAAAAAAUGUCUAUAACAAGACUGUUUCGAGCUAAAAACCUAGCUUAUUCAUUUGUAAAAUAAAAUAUUCUUCUAUUCCAGUACAGAUGAUUGAAAAACUCCUACGUAGCGAUAUACUGUACCGCAAGGGAGGUGAAAUAUAUUAAACAAGCACCAUAAAGUAGAGGCCAACCCUCGUACCUUUUGCAUCAUGGUUUAACUAGUCUAAUCAGGCAAAAAGUCUUAAAGUCUGCCCCCCCGAAGCUAAGUGAGCUAUUUAAGAACAGCCCAUGAGCCAACCCAUCCCUGUUGCAAAAGGGUGG